RNAcentral lists this ribosomal RNA (468 nucleotides) under uncultured bacterium. Its description in RNAcentral is "partial 16S ribosomal RNA". It matches the Rfam family "Bacterial small subunit ribosomal RNA", at positions 28 to 507 of the family's 1533-position model. The record is from RNAcentral.
GACGAACGCUGGCGGCGUGCUUAACACAUGCAAGUCGAACGGAAAGGCCCUGCUUUUGUGGGGUGCUCGAGUGGCGAACGGGUGAGUAACACGUGAGUAACCUGCCCUUGACUUUGGGAUAACUUCAGGAAACUGGGGCUAAUACCGGAUAGGAGCUCCUGCUGCAUGGUGGGGGUUGGAAAGUCUCGGCGGUUGGGGAUGGACUCGCGGCUUAUCAGCUUGUUGGUGGGGUAGUGGCUUACCAAGGCUUUGACGGGUAGCCGGCCUGAGAGGGUGACCGGCCACAUUGGGACUGAGAUACGGCCCAGACUCCUACGGGAGGCAGCAGUGGGGAAUAUUGCACAAUGGGCGGAAGCCUGAUGCAGCAACGCCGCGUGCGGGAUGACGGCCUUCGGGUUGUAAACCGCUUUCGCCUGUGACGAAGCGUGAGUGAUGGUAAUGGGUAAAGAAGCACCGGCUAACUACGUG